Molecule: long non-coding RNA, 548 nt
Filed under: Fukomys damarensis (Damara mole-rat)
Lineage: Eukaryota; Metazoa; Chordata; Mammalia; Rodentia; Bathyergidae
Description: lncRNA (ENSFDAG00000025514.1)
Source: RNAcentral
CUCCCACGGUACCAGUUACUGGAGGAAAGAAGAAACAUUGAAUCAAAGAGGAUACUACAGAAAACUGCUGUCGUAAACUGUGCUGCACAUGUUUAUUGACUGGGGCAGCCACCGAGGAUGGAAAGUUGGAAACACAUCAUAGGCUGGAGAAGGCUUGUGGCCUGUAUCAUCCCAAGGUGGUAGGGCAGGAUGCUUCUAAAAUGUGGGUGAGAGGACCUGUUUCCAGCGGAGGUCAGGGAACUUUUACGGCCUGUUCAAGGGAAGGAUCACAAGUUUACUUUGAGCAAGAAGUAUUCAAAAUCGCUACUGAAAAUGCAUGCGCUGCAAGACCCACAGAGCCCUGAAUAUGAAGUGAGAAGCAAUAGAAUUCACGUUCGAAUAUGAAAGAAUGCAAGCAAACACCUCCACGCUGAUCUCUAAAAGAAUCUAAAAGAAUCGACACACGUCUACACUUCGCACAACCGCUGAGUUCAGACAGUGGCUUAGACUGAGGACUCAUGAGAAUGUUAACAUUUACUUCUGUAUUAGAAAGAUGAAUAAGGCACACU